AUGAGGCCAUGGCGCUGCAGAUGGAUGGGUUCGGUGUUGCUGUGGGGAGCUCCUCUCCCGUAUGGAGCAAUGGGUGGACUUGGCAGCAGGUGCUCCGGCGAGGAACUUGGCGGGGCGACGGAUCCUGCGAGGACGCGGCUUGGGAAACCCCGGCGCGUGCGAGGCGAACUGGAGACCGGCGAGGAUGGUCCCUGGUGUUCCUGUUACAGAGAGCAGAAGAGUGAGAGAUGGAGAGGGAGAAAUGGAGGGAGAAGAAAACAUGCGAUGAAGAGGAGCGACGGGGAACGCUUGACCUGGCGGGGGGAUUGGCAAGGCUCAUCGGCGGCGAGAGCUUCGGUGGCCGGGGCUCCUCUCCUGUUGGGCUCGAGCGAGGCAACAAGGAGGAGGCAGGUGCGAGACCUCCUGUUCGUCUGCUGCGGCUGGAAGGACGAGGAGGAAGACACGCAAGGUGGAGCUCGGGCGCGCUGGAUUGGGGAAAAGGAGGAGGUUGGAGAGGAUUUGGAUCGAGAGGAGGGUGGCUCUGGUUGGCUGGGUGAUGGGAUCGAGGGAGAUUGA
This 555-nucleotide ribosomal RNA is filed under the name Triticum aestivum (bread wheat). Its description in RNAcentral is "partial small subunit ribosomal RNA". The record is from RNAcentral. Lineage: Eukaryota; Viridiplantae; Streptophyta; Magnoliopsida; Poales; Poaceae.